This 753-nucleotide long non-coding RNA is filed under the name Bos taurus (domestic cattle). RNAcentral's name for it is "long non-coding RNA NONBTAT000586". Lineage: Eukaryota; Metazoa; Chordata; Mammalia; Artiodactyla; Bovidae. The record is from RNAcentral.
CGAAAAAGGCCUUCAUGAUGGGCACACAGUAAGAAACAGAUUUUUUAAAAAGAUAAAUUAAAAUGACAUUUCAUUGAACAGGGGGCAGAAGGCUCCCGGAAUCUGCUGUCUGUAAGACCCAUGGUUAGGGUUUGGGGGAAGAGACGAGCAAAAUCUACUCUAUUCCAUAUUCUCCGGCUAGAGGGCUCCCUGGCACUACACUAAGUCCCUGGAUGAAAUGGAACUGGUCACUGCUACUGAGGAGGAAACAGAUGUUCAGAACCAAAACAAAGGUAGGGCUUGAAUGAAAUGAGAUUAAGAAAAUGAUUAUGGUUUCCUCUUUCCACUCCUGAGCAUGGUUAACUGUGGAAGGGGCAAAGACACUGUUAUGAGUGAGCCACUAUUUCAAAGGGAAGGGGGUGGGACAGGGAGACAUGGAUAUCGAGACCAAUUAAUAUCUGCAAAAUGAAAAACGGAAACAAAAAAACAAACACAUGGAAGCGAAGGCACUCCAAACUAUAUAGAUACACUAUACAUUGCUAGAGUUAUUGUUACAAUAAUACAGGCCGGUACCUACUGUACAGAGUUAAAACUAUAUGGCUUUAAAAAGCUCGUCUACAAUUUGUCUGAUUAUUAAACAGAAUCACUGCCCUGAACAGUAACUUUUUGCUCAUUAAUAACAGUUCCUGGGUCCACAUAUUUACAUACAAAACAAUAGAACUUAAAUUUAAAAACAUUAUUCAGAGACCUGGAUCCCACUUGUAUAAAAGAGUU